GCGGGGGGUGUACGGAGGGGGGGAGCAGCAGCGCAGUAGAGCGUGUAUAUGAUAUGUAUGUUAUUUCUGUGUUUGUGCGCUCGCUCUGUUCUUUCCUUUCUUUGUUUGAGUGAGAGGUGGGAAAAAGAAGAAGAAGACAGAAUAUAAGGAGACUGUGAGGAGGAGAAACACAGACGAGAAGAGGAGGAGGAGGAGGAGGAGACCGGGAGGAUUUGACUUUUAUUUUUGCAGAAAGGAUUUCUAAUUUUUUGCUUCUUCCCCUCGCGGUGUCUGCUCUGCACAAAAAAAGACGUAGGAAGUGUCAUGGUGGCCCAGAAGUCCUGAGAAUCAGCCCACAAAUCAGAGUAAGACCUUUCUUCUUGUCCUUGUCCUGUUUUCUUUGACGAACAAGAACAUGCUGACAACCAGGAAAAAUUACGAAAGUAAAACGUUACGUAAUGUUGU
This 444-nucleotide long non-coding RNA is filed under the name Oryzias javanicus (javanese ricefish). RNAcentral's name for it is "lncRNA (ENSOJAG00000024076.1)". Lineage: Eukaryota; Metazoa; Chordata; Actinopteri; Beloniformes; Adrianichthyidae. The record is from RNAcentral.